Molecule: long non-coding RNA, 482 nt
Filed under: Struthio camelus australis
Lineage: Eukaryota; Metazoa; Chordata; Aves; Struthioniformes; Struthionidae
Description: lncRNA (ENSSCUG00000005389.1)
Source: RNAcentral
GGCGGGGCCGUUGCCGUAACGGACGGCUCGGCCGUUAACGGCUGCGCGGGCCGUGGUAGCUCAGCGCUGAGGGAGCUCCGCGAGCUCCCCGGAGCAGCCCCUGGCCGAGGUGGCGCAAGGAGGCUGUGGUAUCACUACCUGCCCCCUCACCGCGGGGCUCUGCUCCCCGGGAACCUCGAUACGUCCCUCGCCUCCCCGUACGUGCUAUUUCGUAGCUAGAAAAAUUAAGAAGCAAGUUGCACAUGCAGUGGCCUACGAUUUGAAGUUCGAAAUGCUGUAACUUCACUGAGGAGGUACUAUUUUUCUGUCCCAAGUAUAAGUAACAGAAACAUGACCACAUCAAUAGAAUGCCAACAGUGUCUAUGCAAAGAUGCGUAGCAAUGGACAGAGAAAGAGAUUAUGAACUGGUUACUGAAGAAUUCCCUAUAUUGAACUAUGGUAGGAGGUGUCCAUCAUGCUCUAUUCAAGGGACUGCUUCCUAA